RNAcentral lists this transfer RNA (72 nucleotides) under bacterium. RNAcentral's name for it is "tRNA-Arg". It matches the Rfam family "tRNA". Rfam says of the family: Transfer RNA (tRNA) molecules are approximately 80 nucleotides in length. Their secondary structure includes four short double-helical elements and three loops (D, anti-codon, and T loops). The record is from RNAcentral.
GCCCCUGUAGUUCAAUGGAUAGAACAGAGACCUCCGGAGUCUCAGAUGCAGGUUCGAUUCCUGCCAGGGGCA